UCAGGCCUAACACAUGCAAGUCGAACGGUAACGCGGGGCAACCUGGCGACGAGUGGCGAACGGGUGAGUAAUGCAUCGGAACGUGCCCGGUAGUGGGGGAUAACUGCUCGAAAGAGCAGCUAAUACCGCAUACGACCUGAGGGUGAAAGGGGGGGAUCGCAAGACCUCUCGCUAUCGGAGCGGCGGAUGUCGGAUUAGCUAGUUGGUGGGGUAAAGGCCCACCAAGGCAACGAUCCGUAGCUGGUCUGAGAGGACGACCAGCCACACUGGGGCUGAGACGCGGCCCAGACUCCUACGGGAGGCAGCAGUGGGGAAUUUUGGACAAUGGACG
RNAcentral lists this ribosomal RNA (331 nucleotides) under uncultured bacterium. RNAcentral's name for it is "bacterial SSU rRNA". It matches the Rfam family "Bacterial small subunit ribosomal RNA", at positions 43 to 377 of the family's 1533-position model. The record is from RNAcentral.